This 429-nucleotide ribosomal RNA is filed under the name Gemmatimonadota bacterium. RNAcentral describes it as "Gemmatimonadetes bacterium partial 16S ribosomal RNA". It matches the Rfam family "Bacterial small subunit ribosomal RNA", at positions 355 to 776 of the family's 1533-position model. Lineage: Bacteria; Pseudomonadati; Gemmatimonadota. The record is from RNAcentral.
UAGGGAAUCUUCGGCAAUGGACGAAAGUCUGACCGAGCAACGCCGCGUGAGUGAAGAAGGUUUUCGGAUCGUAAAACUCUGUUGUUAGAGAAGAACAAGGACGUUAUUAACUGAACGUCCCCUGACGGUAUCUAACCAGAAAGCCACGGCUAACUACGUGCCAGCAGCCGCGGUAAUACGUAGGUGGCAAGCGUUGUCCGGUUUUAUUGGGCGUAAAGCGAGCGCAGGCGGUUCCUUAAGUCUGCUGUGAAAGCCCCCGGCUCAACCGGGGAGGGUCAUUUGAAACUGGGAGACUUGAGUGCAGAAGCGGGGAGUAGAAUUCCAUGUGUAGCGGUGAAAUGCGUAGAUAUAUGGAGGAACACCAGUGGCGAAGGCGGCUCUCUGGUCUGUAACUGACGCUGAGGCUCGAAAGCGUGGGGAGCAAACAGG